UCUUGGGCCAUGCGGCGGAGGCGACCGCCGGGGGCCCACGAAGGAGGGGGCCCAACAACUAAUAUACAGCUAGGCAGUCGUCGUGCGACUGUGCGAGACGAGGGUCCUGCGCCUAGCUCCUACCCCUGAUCGUCGUCACCCUGCUGUGCCUGCAACCUGCAAGGUCCUGCGUCCCUGCCCGAUCCUGUGCUCGCUUGCUCGUUGCUCCCGUCGCCACCACGUCGAUGUUCCUUUCUUCGUGAUUGUUGAUUGGUCUUAGAUGUUUCCCAAGAAACAAUUGUCACGUGCUCAAAUAUCUUGGACAACAUUGAUUUAGAUACGAUUCUUAAUGAUUUCGCAUCAAGAAAUGCA
Molecule: long non-coding RNA, 351 nt
Organism: Panicum virgatum (switchgrass)
Lineage: Eukaryota; Viridiplantae; Streptophyta; Magnoliopsida; Poales; Poaceae
Exons: 2
Source: RefSeq, a predicted model, not a curated record